This 433-nucleotide ribosomal RNA is filed under the name uncultured bacterium. Its description in RNAcentral is "partial 16S ribosomal RNA". It matches the Rfam family "Bacterial small subunit ribosomal RNA", at positions 29 to 507 of the family's 1533-position model. The record is from RNAcentral.
AACGAACGCUGGCGGCAUGCCUAACACAUGCAAGUCGAACGAGACCUUCGGGUCUAGUGGCGCACGGGUGCGUAACGCGUGGGAACCUGCCCUUAGGUUCGGAAUAACUCCCCGAAAGGGGUGCUAAUACCGGAUAAUGUCUUCGGACCAAAGAUUUAUCGCCCUUGGAUGGGCCCGCGUUGGAUUAGCUAGUUGGUAGGGUAAAAGCCUACCAAGGCGAGGAUCCAUAGCUGGUCAGAGAGGAAGAUCAGCCACACUGGGGCUGGGCCGCGGCCCAGACUCCUACAGGAGGCGGCAGUGGGUGAUCUUGGAAUAUGGGCGGAAGCCUGAACCAGCACUGCCGCGUGAGUGAUGAAGGCCUUAGGGUUGUAAAGCUCUUUUACCCGGGGUGAUAAUGACGGUACCGGAAGAAUAAGCACCGGCUAACUCCGUG